GAGAGAGAGAGAGAGAGACAUGCUAGCUACUUAGUCUGCUAAUAUACGAUCACCAUAAAUUGAAUGGACAUAUCUGCCUGCUUAGUCCAGUGCAUGCCUAAUAUUCAAGAAGAUGAAGAUGGCCAUGCUGAGAACCAUUUUUCUUUUCUCUCUCAUCAGUUUUUUCCAAUUUUCCACCUGUUCUACUUUGGUUAAACCAAAGAGUAGUUCACAAGGGUCGUCACAAAAAACAUGGUUUGUGAGCAUAGAUAACUACAAUGAUGUCCAACGCCGUUCACCGCCACCACCUCCGAAAGCAGGACCGACACCAGGCCAGUCACCAAGCCCAAAAGAUCUUCUAUCCAAGUCCAAGAGAGCUCCUCCAAGUCGAUACACAGCUUCAGCUUGAAAUGCUUAAGCUUCAGAAAGUUAACAGGCUAGCUAGUCUAGGCUGUCUAUUAUGUCCAGCUUAUACGUACAUUAAUUCGUGUAGUCUCUCUUGUUCUUUAAAGUUUGUUCAUGCAAUGGUACUUGUAUAAGAAUUAGUAGCAAGAGCAACCUGAGCAUGUUGAUGGAUAUAGGGCCCCUGUGGUUCAAAUCCUAAAGCAAGUACCAAUGAAUCUCUGCUCAGGAGUCAAUUUAAACAAAUCCAAAAACCUGUUCCUCUCUGAGGGAACUACAAGUACUAAUUUAUAUAUCUUUUUUCAGUAAUCCAUCUUCAAAA
This is a long non-coding RNA of Prunus persica (peach), 703 nucleotides long. RefSeq lists it as uncharacterized. Lineage: Eukaryota; Viridiplantae; Streptophyta; Magnoliopsida; Rosales; Rosaceae. The transcript is spliced from 2 exons. The record is from RefSeq and is a predicted model, not a curated record.